GCGCCCGUAGCUCAACUGGAUAGAGCGACUGGCUUCGAACCAGUAGGUCGCAGGUUCAACUCCUGCCGGGCGCGCCA
Molecule: transfer RNA, 77 nt
Filed under: Candidatus Omnitrophota bacterium
Lineage: Bacteria; Pseudomonadati; Candidatus Omnitrophota
Description: Candidatus Omnitrophica bacterium tRNA-Arg
Rfam family: tRNA
About the family: Transfer RNA (tRNA) molecules are approximately 80 nucleotides in length. Their secondary structure includes four short double-helical elements and three loops (D, anti-codon, and T loops).
Source: RNAcentral